CGAGUAAGUCAGACAAUCGCUGCCCGGUAAUGCCGGGGAGAGGAAAGUCCGAGCUCCAUAGGGCAGGGUGCUGGGUAACUCCCAGUGGAGGCGACUCUAAGGAAAGUGCAACAGAGAUAUACCGCCUGAGCAGUUACUGUUCAGGUAAGGGUGGAAAGGCGAGGUAAGAGCUCACCAGCGCAUUGGCGACUUUGCGGCUAUGUAAACCCCAUCUGGAGCAAGAUCGAAUAGGGAGACAUAUGGGAUAGCCCGUCCCGUCUCCGGGUGUAUCGCUUGAGCCCGUCUGGUAACAGCGGGCCUAGAUAGAUGAUUGUCAAAUACAGAACUCGGCUUACAGAUUUGCUCGUGCC
This 350-nucleotide RNase P RNA is filed under the name Bacillota bacterium. RNAcentral's name for it is "RNase P RNA component class A". It matches the Rfam family "Bacterial RNase P class A". From Rfam's summary of the family: Ribonuclease P (RNase P) is a ubiquitous endoribonuclease, found in archaea, bacteria and eukarya as well as chloroplasts and mitochondria. Its best characterised activity is the generation of mature 5'-ends of tRNAs by cleaving the 5'-leader elements of precursor-tRNAs. The record is from RNAcentral. Lineage: Bacteria; Bacillati; Bacillota.